Molecule: transfer RNA, 57 nt
Filed under: Barisia imbricata imbricata
Lineage: Eukaryota; Metazoa; Chordata; Lepidosauria; Squamata; Anguidae
Description: tRNA-Ser
Source: RNAcentral
GAGAGAUUAUACAAGAACUGCUAACUCCUGCACCUGGAACUAAACUUUCAGAUAUCC